GUAUUGUUGAGGACACACAAAUUCUUAAGGACUCAGCUUCAGUGUGCAAAACAAAUUAUUCUGAAAUUAUAUUGGGCUAGUUCACCAAUAUUCAGAGACUAUGGCAUUUAUGUUGCUGAAUCUCUGUGCUCCUGCCCUCUUCCUGUGUCUUCUGAAAGCUGGAAGUAUCAGAGCCCAAUGCACACAGCCAGAGGUGGACUUACCCAUUAGGCAAAGGUAGGUGACCACCUUGAUCCCCCAAAAGCCAAGGGCCCCCUAAAUGCUUUUCAUAGAGGAGAUGCGUAUUAAGCACGGACACACCAACAUUGUGGUGUUCAUUAUCGCGACAACUGUCUGCGUGUCCGCGUCCUGCAAGUGUAUCCUUGUAGCAAAUGAAAUAUAAUGCAUCUGAAGCUGUAAUUAAAUAUUGAGCAACAAUGUGUAUUGUAUGUUUAUUGUUUUA
This is a long non-coding RNA of Sinocyclocheilus grahami, 442 nucleotides long. RefSeq lists it as uncharacterized. NCBI's taxonomy places the organism in Eukaryota, Metazoa, Chordata, Actinopteri, Cypriniformes, Cyprinidae. The transcript is spliced from 3 exons. The record is from RefSeq and is a predicted model, not a curated record.